UGGGGGAUAUUGCACAAUGGGCGAAAGCCUGAUGCAGCGACGCCGCGUGGGGGAUGAAGGCCUUCGGGUUGUAAACUUCUUUUGCUCUGAACAAGGCAUGCUAAUGGGUGUGUUGAGUGUAGGGGUUGAUUAGCGCCGGCUAACUACGUGCCAGCAGCCGCGGUAAUACGUAGGGCGCGAGCGUUGUCCGGAAUUAUUGGGCGUAAAGGGCUUGUAGGUGGCUGGUUGCGUCUGUCGUGAAAGCUCAUGGCUUAACUGUGGGUUUGCGGUGGGUACGGGCUGGCUUGAGUGCAGUAGGGGAGGCUGGAAUUCCUGGUGUAGCGGUGGAAUGCGCAGAUAUCAGGAGGAAUACCGGGGGCGAAGGCGGGUCUCUGGGCUGUUACUGACACUGAGGAGCGAAAGCAUGGGGAGCGAACAGG
Molecule: ribosomal RNA, 419 nt
Filed under: bacterium
Lineage: Bacteria
Description: partial 16S ribosomal RNA
Rfam family: Bacterial small subunit ribosomal RNA
Source: RNAcentral